RNAcentral lists this ribosomal RNA (497 nucleotides) under uncultured bacterium. RNAcentral's name for it is "partial 16S ribosomal RNA". It matches the Rfam family "Bacterial small subunit ribosomal RNA", at positions 28 to 507 of the family's 1533-position model. The record is from RNAcentral.
GAUGAACGCUGGCGGCGUGCCUAAUACAUGCAAGUCGAGCGAACGGACGAGAAGCUUGCUUCUCUGAUGUUAGCGGCGGACGGGUGAGUAACACGUGGAUAACCUACCUAUAAGACUGGGAUAACUUCGGGAAACCGGAGCUAAUACUGGAUAAUAUUUUGAACCGCAUGGUUCAAAAGUGAAAGACGGUCUUGCUGUCACUUAUAGAUGGAUCCGCGUUGCAUUAGCUAGUUGGUAAGGUAACGGCUUACCAAGGCAACGAUGCAUAGCCGACCUGAGAGGGUGAUCAGCCACACUGGAACUGAGACACGGUCCAGACUCCUACGGGAGGCAGCAGUAGGGAAUCUUCCGCAAUGGGCGAAAGCCUGACGGAGCAACGCCGCGUGAGUGAUGAAGGUCUUCGGAUCGUAAAACUCUGUUAUUAGGGAAGAACAUAUGUGUAAGUAACUGUGCACAUCUUGACGGUACCUAAUCAGAAAGCCACGGCUAACUACGUG